Molecule: non-coding RNA, 526 nt
Organism: Rattus norvegicus (Norway rat)
Lineage: Eukaryota; Metazoa; Chordata; Mammalia; Rodentia; Muridae
Source: RefSeq, a predicted model, not a curated record
CACACACACACACACACACACACACACACACACACACACACACACACGGAAACAGGACUCUCAUGCAGGUGUGUGUUCCACUGUGCCAGGCAUCACUCUCCCUGCCUGCCUUGUGUCCUCCCAUCCUUCUCGGUAACAGAGUGACCCCUCACAUCUUCCACAGCCAGACUUCGUGCCCUGCCAGUUACCAACUGCUCUCGCACAGCACACACUCCUGCGUCUCUCUCUCCCCAGCCCCUGCCAGCUCUGUGCACCCGUUGGACGAGGUGCGCUCGCUAAAUGGCCCUGGAAAUACAACUCUCGGUUUGCUCGAUAAAUCCAAGCAGAAAAUUACGAUGUCCUCAUUCAAUUUUCAACUCAUACAUCGCGUUAUAGAUUUUCUCCCUCUCUGCUAGCGUUUCUCCAGCCCACUAAAUAUUCCAGACGUACGAGAGUCUUCGUCUGAUUCAUUCUAAUAACUUUUUUCAUCAAUAUGACUUUUGAGAUUGCACGGCUAUAGCAAAUUAAAUAUUAUUUAUGACUUUAA